Molecule: ribosomal RNA, 208 nt
Filed under: uncultured bacterium
Lineage: Bacteria
Description: partial 16S ribosomal RNA
Rfam family: Bacterial small subunit ribosomal RNA
Source: RNAcentral
UGCGUAGGUGGUGAGGUAAGUCGGAUGUGAAAUCUCCGGGCUCAACCCGGAAAUGGCAUUGGAAACUACCUUGCUGGAGGAUUUGAGGGGGGAUUGGAAUACUUGGUGUAGCAGUGAAAUGCGUAGAUAUCAAGUGGAACACCAGUGGCGAAGGCGAAUCCCUGGAAAAUACCUGACACUGAGGCACGAAAGCUAGGGGAAGCAAACA